ACAUCCAGAGAAUUUAGCAGAGAUGCUUUUAGUGCCUUCGGGAACUCUGAGACAGGUGCUGCAUGGCUGUCGUCAGCUCGUGUUGUGAAAUGUUGGGUUAAGUCCCGCAACGAGCGCAACCCUUAUCCUUUGUUGCCAGCACGUAAUGGUGGGAACUCAAAGGAGACUGCCGGUGAUAAACCGGAGGAAGGUGGGGAUGACGUCAAGUCAUCAUGGCCCUUACGAGUAGGGCUACACACGUGCUACAAUGGCGCAUACAAAGAGAAGCGACCUCGCGAGAGCAAGCGGACCUCAUAAAGUGCGUCGUAGUCCGGAUUGGAGUCUGCAACUCGACUCCAUGAAGUCGGAAUCGCUAGUAAUCGUAAAUCAGAAUGUUACGGUGAAUACGUUCCCGGGCCUUGUACACACCGCCCGUCACACCAUGGGAGUGGGUUGCAAAAGAAGUAGAUAGCUUAACCUUCGGGAGGGCGUUUACCACUUUGUGAUUCAUGACUGGGGUGAAGUCGUAACAAGGUAAGCGUAGUGCU
This 527-nucleotide ribosomal RNA is filed under the name uncultured bacterium. RNAcentral describes it as "bacterial SSU rRNA". It matches the Rfam family "Bacterial small subunit ribosomal RNA", at positions 984 to 1509 of the family's 1533-position model. The record is from RNAcentral.